UAAGGAAUAUUGGACAAUGGAGGCAACUCUGAUCCAGCCAUGCCGCGUGAAGGAAUAAGGCCCUAUGGGUUGUAAACUUCUUUUAGACGGGACAAAACCCCUUUACGUGUAAAGGGUUGAUGGUACUGUCAGAAUAAGCAUCGGCUAACUACGUGCCAGCAGCCGCGGUAAUACGUAGGGGGCAAGCGUUGUCCGGAUUUACUGGGUGUAAAGGGUGCUCAGGCGGAUUUGUAAGUCAGAGGUGAAAUCUUACAGCUUAACUGUGAAACUGCCUUUGNUACUGCAAGCCUAGAGUAUGGAAGAGAGUGAUGGAAUAUCUGGUGUAGCAGUGAAAUGCGUAGAUAUCAGAUAGAACACCAAUGGCGAAGGCAGUCACUUGGUCCAUUACUGACGCUAAAGCACGAAAGCGUGGGUAGCAAACA
RNAcentral lists this ribosomal RNA (422 nucleotides) under uncultured bacterium. RNAcentral describes it as "bacterial SSU rRNA". It matches the Rfam family "Bacterial small subunit ribosomal RNA", at positions 355 to 774 of the family's 1533-position model. The record is from RNAcentral.